GAUGAACGCUAGCGAUAGGCCUAACACAUGCAAGUCGAGGGGCAUCACAUGAAGUAGCAAUACGGAUGGUGGCGACCGGCGCACGGGUGAGUAACACGUAUGCAACCUGCCUUCAACAAGGGGAUAACCCGUUGAAAGACGGACUAAUACCCUAUAACACAGGGGUCCCGCAUGGGAAUAUUUGUUAAAGGACAACCGGUUGAGAUGGGCAUGCGUUCCAUUAGCUAGUUGGCGGGGUAACGGCCCA
Molecule: ribosomal RNA, 247 nt
Filed under: uncultured bacterium
Lineage: Bacteria
Description: partial 16S ribosomal RNA
Rfam family: Bacterial small subunit ribosomal RNA
Source: RNAcentral